CUAGCUGUAAACAUUGCCCAUUUGAUGUGCUUUUCCGUUGAGGGAAGGCAGUGUCGGAGCGAAGGUGUUAAAUGGGCCGCUUGGGAAGUAUGGUCGCAAGACUGAAACUUAAAGGAAUUGGCGGGGGAGCACCGCAACGGGAGGAAUGUGCGGUUUAAUUGGAUUCAACGCCGGAAAACUCACCGGGAACGACCUGUGCAUGAGAGUCAACCUGACGAGCUUACUCGAUAGCAGGAGAGGUGGUGCAUGGCCGUCGUCAGCUCGUACCGUAGGGCGUUCACUUAAGUGUGAUAACGAGCGAGACCCACAUCUUUAAUUGCAAAUGUAUAUGAGAAUAUGCAUGCACUUUAGAGAAACCGCCAGCGCUAAGCUGGAGGAAGGAGUGGUCGACGGCAGGUCAGUACGCCCCGAAUUUCCCGGGCUACACGCGCAUUACAAAGAACGGGACAAUACGUUGCAACCUCGAAAGAGGAAGCUAAUCGCGAAACCCGUCCAUAGUUAGGAUUGAGGGCUGUAACUCGCCCUCAUGAAUCUGGAUUCCGUAGUAAUCGCGGGUCAACAACCCGCGGUGACAUGCCCUGCUCCUUGUACUCACCGCCCU
RNAcentral lists this ribosomal RNA (601 nucleotides) under uncultured bacterium. Its description in RNAcentral is "bacterial SSU rRNA". It matches the Rfam family "Archaeal small subunit ribosomal RNA", at positions 747 to 1352 of the family's 1478-position model. The record is from RNAcentral.